UAGUCCACGCAGUAAACGAUGAGUGCUAGAUGUUAGAACAUUGUGUUUUAGUGUCGAAGCUAACGCAUUAAGCACUCCGCCUGGGAACUACGAUCGCAAGGUUAAAACUCAAAGGAAUUGACGGGGACCCGCACAAGCGGUUGGAAGAUGUGGUUUAAUUCGAUACUACGCGAAAAACCCUACCAAGUCUUGACAUUGAUAGUCGUACGGCUAAGAAACUAGCCAGUCAGUUCGGCUGGACUAUCACAGGUGUUGCAUGGCUGUCGUCAGCUCGUGUCGUGAGAUGUUGGGUUAAGUCCCGCAACGAGCGCAACCCUUAUCUUUAAUUGCCAACAGGUAAUGCUGGGGACUUUAAAGAAACUGCCAAUGGAGAAUUGGAGGAAGGUGAGGGAUGACGUCAAGUCAGCAUGGCCCUUACGACUUGGGCUACACACGUCUUACAAUGGUAGUUACAAUGUGAUGCAAUAGGGCGACCUAGAGCAAAUCUUCAAAAACUACCUCAGUUC
This 506-nucleotide ribosomal RNA is filed under the name uncultured bacterium. Its description in RNAcentral is "bacterial SSU rRNA". It matches the Rfam family "Bacterial small subunit ribosomal RNA", at positions 791 to 1294 of the family's 1533-position model. The record is from RNAcentral.